GACGAACGCUGGCGGCGUGCUUAACACAUGCAAGUCGAACGGGAUUUAGUAGACAGAAGCCUCGGCUAAAGAUUACUAAUGAGAGUGGCGAACGGGUGAGUAACGCGUGAGCAACCUGCCUAUGACAGGGGGAUAGCCUCGGGAAACCGGGAUUAAUACCGCAUAACAUCGUAGAAACACAUGUUUUAACGGUCAAAGAUUUAUCGGUCAUAGAUGGGCUCGCGUCUGAUUAGCUAGUUGGUGAGAUAACAGCCCACCAAGGCGACGAUCAGUAGCCGGUCUGAGAGGAUGAACGGCCACAUUGGAACUGAGACACGGUCCAAACUCCUACGGGAGGCAGCAGUGGGGAAUAUUGCACAAUGGGGGAAACCCUGAUGCAGCGACGCCGCGUGAACGAAGAAGGUAUUCGUAUCGUAAAGUUCUGUCCUAUGGGAAGAUAAUGACAGUACCAUAGAAGAAAGCUCCGGCUAAAUACGUG
Molecule: ribosomal RNA, 478 nt
Filed under: uncultured bacterium
Lineage: Bacteria
Description: partial 16S ribosomal RNA
Rfam family: Bacterial small subunit ribosomal RNA
Source: RNAcentral